CUGGGAGCUGUAGUUCUGUGGUGCCGGGCGGCCACGUGGGCUCCGCGGCGCGCGGCCGGUCUUUCCCCGAGCCGGGGCCGGGCUGUGCGCGCCGGGAGGCGCAGGUUGCUGCUGGCUGCGAGCGCGGUUGCCGGCGGGCAGAAGCAGCUCCCCGCCGCUAGGACCCCUGUGGGUUUUGUUGCCGAGCGAAGGUGGCGCACCGGGUAAACCGAGGAAUCUAUUACAGAGGGAUGCAGCUCUCUCGUUACCACUUCUGCUGACUCCUGAAGCGAUCCUCUCUGCCCUGGUCCGAUAUCCCUGCCCGUCUGUGGCAAAGAGUUUGUCCCUCAGAUUGCAGAAGCAGCAUUGUGGAAUUUAGGUUUUGCUCGUGCAGAAGGCUGACAGCCUGUCUCACUCUCAUCAGUGCUAUCCCACCAGCUCCUUUAGGAGCUCAGCGCCACGUUUGGCCUGUUCUGAUCUUCCUGCAAUCCCCUCAUUUCUGUGCUGCAACACCACCAUCCAUAAGAAGUCAGAGAGGAGAAAAGCUCUUUCCAGCGAGAUGGAGAAGGAAUUAAUUAUACCUCUGCCUCAUCCUGUGAGACCAGAAGACAUGGAGUAACUCCCAUUUCCGCAGGAGGCAACCGUUCCCCAUGGGAUGAACGCUGAGAGGGAUGGACAGACCUGCUCGAUGCCUGAGCCCUGCAGCCCCCAGGGGAAGGGGAGAACGUCCGGGCAGGGAGUUCCACCGCAGUCUCCCUGCCAGGAGUCCUGCGCAAGAGUUU
Cygnus atratus (black swan) is the source of this 761-nucleotide long non-coding RNA. RefSeq lists it as uncharacterized. The transcript is spliced from 5 exons. NCBI's taxonomy places the organism in Eukaryota, Metazoa, Chordata, Aves, Anseriformes, Anatidae. The record is from RefSeq and is a predicted model, not a curated record.